Molecule: ribosomal RNA, 2064 nt
Filed under: Triticum aestivum (bread wheat)
Lineage: Eukaryota; Viridiplantae; Streptophyta; Magnoliopsida; Poales; Poaceae
Description: partial small subunit ribosomal RNA
Source: RNAcentral
AUGCCAUCUAGCGACAAGCAAUUAGCAUUCUCGGUGAAAACAGCAGCAUCGCGUGAGCUGCUAAACAAAGGUACAAACAUCAUAAAUAUGUCUCAAGGCACUUCUCUGCCGCCAAAGGAUAAAGGUGCUGCUGAAGAACCUUUAAAGGCUGUGGGCACAAAACGGCUGCAUACUGAUGCUCCUUCAAGCCCUGUUUAUCAUAAUGUUUAUGUGCGGCGAAAGGUGGAAACUGAACAUAAUAAAGUGAACUCGUCUCUGGAGAUGAAGGUUAUUGGCAAGGACAAAACAAAGCAGCAGGAGGAACAGCGAAAUGUGGAAACUGAACAUAGCAAAGUGAGUUGCUCUCAAGAGUUGAAGGGUAGUCGAAGUGAGAUAACAAAAGAGCAGGGGAUACAGAGAAUGGAAACGGAACAUAGUAAAGUGAACCCUUCUCAGGAGUUGAAGGGUAGUGGAAGCGAGAAAACAAAGGAGCAGGAGGAACGGAAAGUGAAAACUGAACAUAGUAAAGUGAACCCUUCUCAAGAGAUGAAGGGUAGUGGAAGUGAGAAAACAAAAGGGCAGGAAAUACAGAAAAUGGAAACUGAACAUAGUAGAGUGAACCCUUCGCAAGAGUUGAAGGGUAGUGGAAGCAAGAAAACAGAGGAGCAGGAGGAACAGAAAGUGAAAACUGAACAUAGUAAAGUGAGCUCUUCUAAAGAGUUGAAGGGUAAUGUAGGAGAAAAAAUAGAAGAGCAAGAGGAUCAGCAACUGGUGCAAUGUGAUCAAGUCAGUAAGCCAGAAGUGGCACCUCCUAUUGCUGAAUCUGGAAUAAAAGAGCAGGAUGAACAGCAAACGGUGCAAGUGAAUAAGCCAGAAGUGGCACCUCCUAUUGCUGAAUCUGGAAUAAAAGAGCAGGAUGAACAGCAAACGGUGCAAGUGAAUAAGUCAGAAGUGGCACCUCUUAUUUCUGAAUCUGGAAUAAAAGAGCAGGAUGAACAGAAGACGGUNNNNNNNNNNNNNNNNNNNGUGGCACCUCCUAUUUCUGAAUCUGGAAUUAAAGAGCAGGAUGAACAGGAAACGGUGCAACAUGAUCAGGUGAAUAAGCCAGAAUUGGCACCUCCUAUUGCUGAAUCUGGGACAAAAGGGCUGGAUGAGCAGCAAACGGUGCAACAUGAUCAGGUCAAGAAGUCAGAAAUGGCACAUAUUCCUGAACCUGGAAUAAAAGGUCAGGAUGAACAGCAAAUGGUGCAACAUGAUCAGGUCGAUAAGCCAGAAAUGGCACCUCCUAUUGCUGAAACCGGAAUAAAAGAGCAGGAGGAACAGCAAACUGUACAACAUGGUCAGAUCAAUAAGCCAGAAGUGGCACCUCCUAUCUCUGAACCUUGCAUAGAAGAGCAGGAGAAACGGCAAAUGGUACAACCAGAUCAAGUCAAUAAGCCAGAAGUGGCACCUCCUGUUGCUGAACCUAGGAUAACAGAGCAGGAGGAACUGCAAAUGGUACAACAUGAUCAGGUCAAUAAGCCAGAAGUGGCACCUCCUGUUGCUGAACCUAUGAUAACAGAACAGGAGGAACCGCAAAUGGUACAACAUGAUCAGGUCAAUAAGCCAGAAGUGGCACCUACUAUUGCUGAAUCUGCAGGUCUAGUCUCAUCUGAAAUGACUGAAUCUGGAGGGCUAGAGCCAUCUAAAUCUCCCGAAGAAACACAUGCAGAAACUGUACCAAAGAUAAAUGAGCUGCCGAUUGCUUCUGCUAACGAGCCACCUAUCGCUCCUAGUACCACCGUUCAAGGUGAUAUCCGUAGAUCAGGCAACCAAAAUCCUUACUGGAGUGAGAGAUAUGAUCGAUUACAGACAUAUUUGGAGAACUGUGAUCGGUCACCCCAGGAGGGUUAUAUGCGAAUGCUUAGGUCACUCUCAGCAGCCGGUCGAAGCAUGCAUGCGAUUGAGCUGGAGAAAAGGGCAAUACACCUCCUAGUGGAGGAAGGUAAAGAGCUGCAACGGAUGAAGGCUUUGAAUGUUUUGGGGAAAGUUUCUCCAAACGGUCCUUCGAAGCAGGAUCCCUUGCAGCGGUCGUGCCAGAAGUGA